GCGUUUUUUGCCGCCCCCUGAAAAAUGCCGCCCAAGGCAAAUGCCUUGUUUGCCUCGUGGCUAAUACGUCCCUGACCACAACCACUGCAGUACGCUGUCACUCAUAGGAAAUUAUGCAGUCUAUAAUACCUGGAGAUUCUGACGUUUUGACCUAGAGAGCUUGGCAAACUGAUUUCUUUUUUAUUACAAAAAGCACAGAUCUGCCUUUAUCUGCACCUUUUGUCAUCCACACUUCUAACACAUUACAUUCCAUAUUCAAUUUAUGGCCUAUUUGGUUCUACUCACAGUUAACAAGGCGAUUCUGUGUUUUCUUUACAUGGAAUCCCCACUUUCUUUUUGCAUGAGGCAUCAAUGUUUUAGAAGUCCAUUAAUUUUUGCAUGCAAAUGCUCCAUAAACUUGAUAUGCAAUGAUCAGCCACAACAUUAACACCACUGACAGGUGAAGUGAAUAACAUUAAUUAUAUUGUUACCAUAGCACCUAUCUAGGGGUGGGAUAUAUUAGGCAGCAAGUAAACAGUCAGUUUGUGGAAUUUUAUGUGUUGGAAGCAGGAAAAAUGGACAAGCGAAAAGAUCUAAGUGAAAAGGCCAAAUCGUGAUGGCUAGAGAUGUGUCAGAGAAUCUCCAAACUGGCAACUCUUGUUAGGUGUUCCCGGUAUGUAGUGGUUACUACCUACCAGAAGUGGUGCAACAAAGGACAUAUUUGUGUUCAGUGAUGUCUCAAGUGUACAAUAUAUCCCCCAUGUAUGAGUUUUAUGGGAUUUUAGAAAGUUACAGGGUCAAAUAUAGGGCUUGGUUUUACACAUUAAAAUUGUCAGAUUGGUUUGCUGGGUCUAUGUUGCCUUUGAAACCAGAUAGCAGCCCAGAAAUGUGAAUUACCUCCAUUAUGGCAUACAAUGUGCAAACGUAGACAACCCAGGGUAUUCAAAAUGGGGUAUGGCCAGUCUUGUGGUAUCCACUUAGACACAAACCCUGGCCAAAGAUAGUUUUAAUAUUUGUUUUUUGCAUUUUAAACAAGUCGGUUGAAGUGUGCCGAAAACAGACGUAUGCGGUAGGCCUGUAAUAAAGAAGGGCCACCUUAGUUAUAAAAUAACAAAUGAAAUCGAGUUGAGGGAGUGGUGGGUGGAGCCUGCCGAACGUCAGAACCCACGGUGAUGCAGGUAAAGGGGGGAGGUGCUUAAAUAGGAUCAAAACGCCCCUCCCACAACUCCAGGCAAGCCUUUACAUUUGUGUUCGGUGCUAUUCUUGUAACGUAAACGUAUGUAUAGCAUGGUGUAAAUUAUAGAUAUGAACAAGUCGGUUGAAGUGUGCUGAAACGGACGUAUGCGGUAGGCC
Pelobates cultripes (western spadefoot toad) is the source of this 1332-nucleotide non-coding RNA. The record is from the annotation of a GenBank genome assembly. NCBI's taxonomy places the organism in Eukaryota, Metazoa, Chordata, Amphibia, Anura, Pelobatidae.